UGGGGAAUAUUGGACAAUGGGCGCAAGCCUGAUCCAGCCAUGCCGCGUGAGUGAUGAAGGCCUUAGGGUUGUAAAGCUCUUCCACCGGAGAAGAUAAUGACGGUAUCCGGAGAAGAAGCCCCGGCUAACUUCGUGCCAGCAGCCGCGGUAAUACGAAGGGGGCUAGCGUUGUUCGGAAUUACUGGGCGUAAAGCGCACGUAGGCGGGCAUUUAAGUCAGGGGUGAAAUCCCAGAGCUCAACUCUGGAACUGCCUUUGAUACUGGGUGUCUUGAGUAUGGAAGAGGUGAGUGGAAUUCCGAGUGUAGAGGUGAAAUUCGUAGAUAUUCGGAGGAACACCAGUGGCGAAGGCGGCUCACUGGUCCAUUACUGACGCUGAGGUGCGAAAGCGUGGGGAGCAAACA
This 402-nucleotide ribosomal RNA is filed under the name uncultured prokaryote. Its description in RNAcentral is "bacterial SSU rRNA". It matches the Rfam family "Bacterial small subunit ribosomal RNA", at positions 355 to 774 of the family's 1533-position model. The record is from RNAcentral.